UACUCCUACGGGAGGCAGCAGUAGGGAAUCUUGCGCAAUGGGCGAAAGCCUGACGCAGCAACGCCGCGUGCGGGAAGAAGGCUCUCGGGUUGUAAACCGCUUUCAGUAGGAACGAAUUUGACGGUGCCUGCAGAAGAAGGUGCGGCCAACUACGUGCCAGCAGCCGCGGUAAU
RNAcentral lists this ribosomal RNA (173 nucleotides) under uncultured bacterium. RNAcentral's name for it is "partial 16S ribosomal RNA". It matches the Rfam family "Bacterial small subunit ribosomal RNA", at positions 334 to 524 of the family's 1533-position model. The record is from RNAcentral.